GGUAAAUAGUGUUAUUCCACUUGCCACUGUUAUUAUUAUCAUUAUAUUGUACUGUGGUGGUUUGCUCUUGGGCGUGUCCGCCUUGGUGCUGGCGUAUUUACGUCAUCAGCUGCGUCUGAUGUUUGCCAGUAUUGAGACGGAUACGGUCGAGUGUGUGAAUGACCCGGCUGCAGGCUAACCGCUCCUGAUCAGCACUCUUGUAUUUUGUACAGAAUAAAUGGUCAAUGCAGAAGGGGUCAAGUCUCUGUCUCAGUACCUUCAACAAACAAAAAAAACACAACGCAGAGUAAGACUACAAGAAAAGACUAACCCUGUCAGAACCAGGUCUGACACGGUUACACUGGUGCCGUGACCCGUUCGGCUUCUUCCUUCGUCGGGACGGGGCCCGUCUAUCACCUGGUACGGUUGCUGUGCAGCGAACCUGUUCGCGCCGAAAGGGAGGUGCAGCGGCUGGAUCAGAGACAACUCGGCGCGCAUGAUCACGUGGUUUCUUCAGGACACUUCGGCUCAUCGUCCUCUCUCGCCAUUGGCUGUGAUGACACCUCGGAUCAUCGUUCUCUCUCGCCAUUGGCUGUGGUAACAGACUGCAACACGUGGGGUCCGUGGUGUGCUGCAGCUGCCAUUCUGUGUGUGGCUGUGGAAGUCGGGUCUGUAAAACCAGCGGGCCCUGGAUAUAUAUAUAUAUAUUUUUUUCCUCUUUCUGUGGAGGCGUGUCCUUAUAGUGAUUGUCUGGUUUAGCAGACUGGGUUAUUAAAGAGUUUUUUUUAUUUAUUAUUUUUUUGUUUUUUUUAUGAGCAAAGAGUUUGUCUGA
Long non-coding RNA from Melanotaenia boesemani (Boeseman's rainbowfish), 811 nucleotides. RefSeq lists it as uncharacterized. The transcript has 3 exons. The record is from RefSeq and is a predicted model, not a curated record. NCBI's taxonomy places the organism in Eukaryota, Metazoa, Chordata, Actinopteri, Atheriniformes, Melanotaeniidae.